This 396-nucleotide ribosomal RNA is filed under the name uncultured bacterium. Its description in RNAcentral is "bacterial SSU rRNA". It matches the Rfam family "Bacterial small subunit ribosomal RNA", at positions 32 to 419 of the family's 1533-position model. The record is from RNAcentral.
AAUCAACGCUGGCGGCGUGCCUCAGACAUGCAAGUCGAACGAUUAAAGCUCUCUUCGGAGAGUGCAUAGAGUGGCGCACGGGUGGGUAACACGUAAGUAAUCUACCUUCGAGUGGGGAAUAACAGUCGGAAGCGACUGCUAAUACCGCAUAAUGCAGCGGCAUCGCAAGAUGACAGUUGUUAAAGGAGCAAUCCGCUUGAAGAGGAGCUUGCGGCAGAUUAGCUAGUUGGUAAGGUAAUGGCUUACCAAGGCAACGAUCUGUAACCGACCUGAGAGGGUGGUCGGUCACACUGACACUGAAUAACGGUCAGACUCCUACGGAGGCAGCAGUCGGGAAUUUUGGGUCAAUGGGCGCAAGCCUGACCCAGCAACGCCGCGUGAAGGAUGAAGUCUUUC